RNAcentral lists this long non-coding RNA (236 nucleotides) under Ananas comosus (pineapple). RNAcentral's name for it is "long non-coding RNA (ACOM_LNC008587)". The record is from RNAcentral. Lineage: Eukaryota; Viridiplantae; Streptophyta; Magnoliopsida; Poales; Bromeliaceae.
AGAUAUAUGUGGCAGGGAUGAUAAAGCGCUGUUUUCCUAAAGCCGACCAAGACUAGUGAAACUAAAGCUUGGGUCUCGGCUGUGGCUUUGAACAGUCGAUUUGGCACCAAUAGUCAUCCGAAUGUUCAUUUGAAAGACUAUUGGGGGGGCAUUGUUGAUACCAAAAUUGAGCCGACCUAACCCACGUAUGAGCCAAUAAGGACACGUGGUACACCAGAAGUCGGCAAUAAGGCGCC